RNAcentral lists this long non-coding RNA (452 nucleotides) under Nicotiana benthamiana. RNAcentral's name for it is "long non-coding RNA (NBEN_LNC015822)". The record is from RNAcentral. Lineage: Eukaryota; Viridiplantae; Streptophyta; Magnoliopsida; Solanales; Solanaceae.
GAGGGAAAACGUUAUAAAACUCAAGUAGAGCACAAAUAUAGAACCGAUCUAAGAAACAAAAAUAGAGAAAACCUCGGAUAUCUAGGGUUUUAGAGGAACCCUAAAGAGAGAAAGGAAUGGAAAAGGUCCGAUCUAAGUCGGAUGAGUCAGAACCAGGCUCGAAAUGCAUUGGAUACGCCGGAACAAAGGUAGAGAGGCCAUGGAACCUUGAAUUGGAGAAAAUGAGAACGGACACCAUCGAGGUCAGACCUCAAAACUUCAAACACCAAACAUUUAAGAACAGAGAUAGAUGGGUAUCGGCCAUCCACGGCCUGAGAGGCCAUGGAUUCCGGUGAGUUUGUGGUUGAAAAUGGUAGAGGAUGAUUAGGGUUUCAAGAACCUUCGAGAUAGUUUAUGAGAGGAGAGUGUUUGGGGGAGGCUGAGAGAGGAGAAUGAGGGGAUUAGGGUAGUCA